Molecule: ribosomal RNA, 52 nt
Filed under: uncultured Lactarius
Lineage: Eukaryota; Fungi; Basidiomycota; Agaricomycetes; Russulales; Russulaceae
Description: partial 28S ribosomal RNA
Source: RNAcentral
CCUUGACCUCAAAUCGGGUGAGACUACCCGCUGAACUUAAGCAUAUCAAUAA